AGUGCUUGCUUCUGCACUAUAUGGACUAUAAUUAGAAAGAUACAGAGAAGAGUAGUAAUGGCUUCUGCACAGCAAUGAUGCACAAAUCCAUAAAGCAUUCCAAAGUUUU
Chionomys nivalis (European snow vole) is the source of this 109-nucleotide small nuclear RNA. NCBI's taxonomy places the organism in Eukaryota, Metazoa, Chordata, Mammalia, Rodentia, Cricetidae. The record is from RefSeq and is a predicted model, not a curated record.